UACGGAGGGUGCAAGCGUUACCCGGAAUCAUUGGGCGUAAAGCGUCCGCAGGUGGUUUGUUAAGUUAAAUGUUAAAUCUCGGAGCUCAACUCCGAGCUUGUGUUUAAAACUGGCAAACUAGAGAAUUUUAGAGGUGCGUGGAAUUCUGUGUGUAGGGGUAAAAUCCGUAGAUACACAGAGGAACACCAAAAGCGAAAGCAGCGCACUGGAAAAUUUCUGACACUCAUGGACGAAAGCGUGGGGAUCAAACAGG
This 253-nucleotide ribosomal RNA is filed under the name uncultured bacterium. RNAcentral's name for it is "partial 16S ribosomal RNA". It matches the Rfam family "Bacterial small subunit ribosomal RNA", at positions 524 to 776 of the family's 1533-position model. The record is from RNAcentral.